This 2902-nucleotide ribosomal RNA is filed under the name Escherichia coli. Its description in RNAcentral is "bacterial LSU rRNA". It matches the Rfam family "Bacterial large subunit ribosomal RNA". Lineage: Bacteria; Pseudomonadati; Pseudomonadota; Gammaproteobacteria; Enterobacterales; Enterobacteriaceae. The record is from RNAcentral.
UUAAGCGACUAAGCGUACACGGUGGAUGCCCUGGCAGUCAGAGGCGAUGAAGGACGUGCUAAUCUGCGAUAAGCGUCGGUGAGGUGAUAUGAACCGUUAUAACCGGCGAUUUCCGAAUGGGGAAACCCAGUGUGUUUCGACACACUAUCAUUAACUGAAUCCAUAGGUUAAUGAGGCGAACCGGGGGAACUGAAACAUCUAAGUACCCCGAGGAAAAGAAAUCAACCGAGAUUCCCCCAGUAGCGGCGAGCGAACGGGGAGGAGCCCAGAGCCUGAAUCAGUGUGUGUGUUAGUGGAAGCGUCUGGAAAGGCGCGCGAUACAGGGUGACAGCCCCGUACACAAAAAUGCACAUACUGUGAGCUCGAUGAGUAGGGCGGGACACGUGGUAUCCUGUCUGAAUAUGGGGGGACCAUCCUCCAAGGCUAAAUACUCCUGACUGACCGAUAGUGAACCAGUACCGUGAGGGAAAGGCGAAAAGAACCCCGGCGAGGGGAGUGAAAAAGAACCUGAAACCGUGUACGUACAAGCAGUGGGAGCCUCUUAAUGGGGUGACUGCGUACCUUUUGUAUAAUGGGUCAGCGACUUAUAUUCUGUAGCAAGGUUAACCGAAUAGGGGAGCCGAAGGGAAACCGAGUCUUAACUGGGCGUUAAGUUGCAGGGUAUAGACCCGAAACCCGGUGAUCUAGCCAUGGGCAGGUUGAAGGUUGGGUAACACUAACUGGAGGACCGAACCGACUAAUGUUGAAAAAUUAGCGGAUGACUUGUGGCUGGGGGUGAAAGGCCAAUCAAACCGGGAGAUAGCUGGUUCUCCCCGAAAGCUAUUUAGGUAGCGCCUCGUGAAUUCAUCUCCGGGGGUAGAGCACUGUUUCGGCAAGGGGGUCAUCCCGACUUACCAACCCGAUGCAAACUGCGAAUACCGGAGAAUGUUAUCACGGGAGACACACGGCGGGUGCUAACGUCCGUCGUGAAGAGGGAAACAACCCAGACCGCCAGCUAAGGUCCCAAAGUCAUGGUUAAGUGGGAAACGAUGUGGGAAGGCCCAGACAGCCAGGAUGUUGGCUUAGAAGCAGCCAUCAUUUAAAGAAAGCGUAAUAGCUCACUGGUCGAGUCGGCCUGCGCGGAAGAUGUAACGGGGCUAAACCAUGCACCGAAGCUGCGGCAGCGACACUGUGUGUUGUUGGGUAGGGGAGCGUUCUGUAAGCCUGUGAAGGUGUGCUGUGAGACAUGCUGGAGGUAUCAGAAGUGCGAAUGCUGACAUAAGUAACGAUAAAGCGGGUGAAAAGCCCGCUCGCCGGAAGACCAAGGGUUCCUGUCCAACGUUAAUCGGGGCAGGGUGAGUCGACCCCUAAGGCGAGGCCGAAAGGCGUAGUCGAUGGGAAACAGGUUAAUAUUCCUGUACUUGGUGUUACUGCGAAGGGGGGACGGAGAAGGCUAUGUUGGCCGGGCGACGGUUGUCCCGGUUUAAGCGUGUAGGCUGGUUUUCCAGGCAAAUCCGGAAAACCAAGGCUGAGGCGUGAUGACGAGGCACUACGGUGCUGAAGCGACAAAUGCCCUGCUUCCAGGAAAAGCCUCUAAGCAUCAGGUAACAUCAAAUCGUACCCCAAACCGACACAGGUGGUCAGGUAGAGAAUACCAAGGCGCUUGAGAGAACUCGGGUGAAGGAACUAGGCAAAAUGGUGCCGUAACUUCGGGAGAAGGCACGCUGAUAUGUAGGUGAAGCGACUUGCUCGUGGAGCUGAAAUCAGUCGAAGAUACCAGCUGGCUGCAACUGUUUAUUAAAAACACAGCACUGUGCAAACACGAAAGUGGACGUAUACGGUGUGACGCCUGCCCGGUGCCGGAAGGUUAAUUGAUGGGGUUAGCGGCAACGCGAAGCUCUUGAUCGAAGCCCCGGUAAACGGCGGCCGUAACUAUAACGGUCCUAAGGUAGCGAAAUUCCUUGUCGGGUAAGUUCCGACCUGCACGAAUGGCGUAAUGAUGGCCAGGCUGUCUCCACCCGAGACUCAGUGAAAUUGAACUCGCUGUGAAGAUGCAGUGUACCCGCGGCAAGACGGAAAGACCCCGUGAACCUUUACUAUAGCUUGACACUGAACAUUGAGCCUUGAUGUGUAGGAUAGGUGGGAGGCUUUGAAGUGUGGACGCCAGUCUGCAUGGAGCCGACCUUGAAAUACCACCCUUUAAUGUUUGAUGUUCUAACGUUGGCCCCUAAUCGGGGUUGCGGACAGUGUCUGGUGGGUAGUUUGACUGGGGCGGUCUCCUCCUAAAGAGUAACGGAGGAGCACGAAGGUUGGCUAAUCCUGGUCGGACAUCAGGAGGUUAGUGCAAUGGCAUAAGCCAGCUUGACUGCGAGCGUGACGGCGCGAGCAGGUGCGAAAGCAGGUCAUAGUGAUCCGGUGGUUCUGAAUGGAAGGGCCAUCGCUCAACGGAUAAAAGGUACUCCGGGGAUAACAGGCUGAUACCGCCCAAGAGUUCAUAUCGACGGCGGUGUUUGGCACCUCGAUGUCGGCUCAUCACAUCCUGGGGCUGAAGUAGGUCCCAAGGGUAUGGCUGUUCGCCAUUUAAAGUGGUACGCGAGCUGGGUUUAGAACGUCGUGAGACAGUUCGGUCCCUAUCUGCCGUGGGCGCUGGAGAACUGAGGGGGGCUGCUCCUAGUACGAGAGGACCGGAGUGGACGCAUCACUGGUGUUCGGGUUGUCAUGCCAAUGGCACUGCCCGGUAGCUAAAUGCGGAAGAGAUAAGUGCUGAAAGCAUCUAAGCACGAAACUUGCCCCGAGAUGAGUUCUCCCUGAGACUUAGAGUCUCCUGAAGGAACGUUGAAGACGACGACGUUGAUAGGCCGGGUGUGUAAGCGCAGCGAUGCGUUGAGCUAACCGGUACUAAUGAACCGUGAGGCUUAACCUU